RNAcentral lists this ribosomal RNA (446 nucleotides) under uncultured bacterium. Its description in RNAcentral is "bacterial SSU rRNA". It matches the Rfam family "Bacterial small subunit ribosomal RNA", at positions 355 to 825 of the family's 1533-position model. The record is from RNAcentral.
UGGGGAAUAUUGGACAAUGGGCGCAAGCCUGAUCCAGCCAUGCCGCGUGAGUGACGAAGGCCUUAGGGUUGUAAAGCUCUUUCGGCGGGGAAGAUAAUGACGGUACCCGCAGAAGAAGCCCCGGCUAACUCUGUGCCAGCAGCCGCGGUAAUACAGAGGGGGCAAGCGUUGUUCGGAAUCACUGGGCGUAAAGCGCACGUAGGUGGAUAGUUAAGUUCGGGGUGAAAUCCCAGGGCUCAACCCUGGAACUGCCUCGGAUACUGGCUAUCUCGAGUCCGGAAGAGGUGAGUGGAAUUCCUAGUGUAGAGGUGAAAUUCGUAGAUAUUAGGAAGAACACCGGUGGCGAAGGCGGCUCACUGGUCCGGUACUGACACUGAGGUGCGAAAGCGUGGGGAGCAAACAGGAUUAGAUCCCGUGUAGUCCCUGAGCGGGCUGGCAAGGCGCAU